This 506-nucleotide ribosomal RNA is filed under the name uncultured bacterium. Its description in RNAcentral is "partial 16S ribosomal RNA". It matches the Rfam family "Bacterial small subunit ribosomal RNA", at positions 29 to 523 of the family's 1533-position model. The record is from RNAcentral.
AGUGAACGCUGGCGGUAGGCCUAACACAUGCAAGUCGAACGGCAGCACAGGAGAGCUUGCUCUCUGGGUGGCGAGUGGCGGACGGGUGAGGAAUACAUCGGAAUCUACUUUUUCGUGGGGGAUAACGUAGGGAAACUUACGCUAAUACCGCAUACGACCUACGGGUGAAAGCAGGGGAUCUUCGGACCUUGCGUGAUUGAAUGAGCCGAUGUCGGAUUAGCUAGUUGGCGGGGUAAAGGCCCACCAAGGCGACGAUCCGUAGCUGGUCUGAGAGGAUGAUCAGCCACACUGGAACUGAGACACGGUCCAGACUCCUACGGGAGGCAGCAGUGGGGAAUAUUGGACAAUGGGCGCAAGCCUGAUCCAGCCAUACCGCGUGAGUGAAGAAGGCCUUCGGGUUGUAAAGCCCUUUUGUUGGGAAAGAAAUCCAGCUGGUUAAUACCCGGUUGGGAUGACGGUACCCAAAGAAUAAGCACCGGCUAACUUCGUGCCAGCCGCCGCAGUAA